Lupinus albus (white lupine) is the source of this 231-nucleotide non-coding RNA. The record is from the annotation of a GenBank genome assembly. NCBI's taxonomy places the organism in Eukaryota, Viridiplantae, Streptophyta, Magnoliopsida, Fabales, Fabaceae.
CCUCAAGUAACUUAUAUUACUUCAUAUUCUAAUGUAGUUCAUUGUUAUUUUUAGAUUUAUGUUAUUAACGUUCAAUGAGAUAUUGUCCAACAGCCUCCACUUUCGAAGUGGGAAAAAAGAAAGUCGCAUGCCAAUGAUUCCCAACAAUUAAAAACUGCUGUGUCUUUUACUGCUGAACAUGAUCCAGACCACCUUGAAGUCAUAACUUCUUCCAAGAGAAUGUGGGACUAA